This 401-nucleotide ribosomal RNA is filed under the name uncultured Methanosaeta sp. RNAcentral's name for it is "bacterial SSU rRNA". It matches the Rfam family "Archaeal small subunit ribosomal RNA", at positions 938 to 1338 of the family's 1478-position model. The record is from RNAcentral. Lineage: Archaea; Methanobacteriati; Methanobacteriota; Methanomicrobia; Methanotrichales; Methanotrichaceae.
GACAGCAAUAUGAAGGCCAGGCUGAAGACUUUGCCGGAUUAGCUGAGAGGUGGUGCAUGGCCGUCGUCAGUUCGUACUGUGAAGCAUCCUGUUAAGUCAGGCAACGAGCGAGACCCACGCCCACAGUUGCCAGCGUACUCUCCGGAGUGACGGGUACACUGUGGGGACCGCCGCUGCUAAAGCGGAGGAAGGAAUGGGCAACGGUAGGUCAGUAUGCCCCGAAUAUCCCGGGCUACACACGAGCUACAAUGGUUGGUACAAUGGGUAUCUACCCCGAAAGGGGACGGGAAUCUCCUAAAACCAAUCUUAGUUCGGAUUGAGGGCUGCAACUCGCCCUCAUGAAGCUGGAAUCCGUAGUAAUCGCGUUUCAACAGAACGCGGUGAAUACGUCCCUGCUCCUU